This 1288-nucleotide long non-coding RNA is filed under the name Anser brachyrhynchus (Pink-footed goose). RNAcentral's name for it is "lncRNA (ENSABRG00000014720.1)". The record is from RNAcentral. Lineage: Eukaryota; Metazoa; Chordata; Aves; Anseriformes; Anatidae.
AGGCUUGGUAGUGGUUUUUCACAGAAGGCUUUUCAUUCCAGGAAUCAGGGUGACUUAGGCAAUGGGAACUUCCCAGUUUAGGUGUAUGACUAAACAAAGCAUUUUAAAGCACUGGAUGAUAAAGCACCUUUUAUGUUUUAAGAGAAAGCCAGCAGCUAACCAAGCAAAAUUGGGAAUUAUAAUACUAGUGAAGAGGAUAGGCAGGAAACAAUAUUGUAGUCUGUAAAUAAACUAGAAGAAUCAAAACAAGUUUGUGAAGGGAAACAAGAAUCCUUAAUUCAGAAGACAAAAAGGGAAUUAAAAAAAAAAAAAGAAAAGGGGGGUGUAAAUUAGGGGAGCCUACAAAUUACUAAAAACAAGUAGUUCUUCAUGUGUUGUAUAAUCUUCUAUGGACUGUUUUGGUGUUGCAUUUAAAAGGUUAUUUUAAUGCUGUCUUUGAGGUGAGACUUCUUGCAGGUCAAUCCAGGAGAUGAGGGUGGAAACAGGUCUCAGUAGAUACUGGAUGGUGACUUCUGCAGUGCUUUCAUCCAAGUGUACAUCCACAGGUAUGAUCGGUUACUACACUGAUAGUUCAGCACCAGACGAAGUGGAAAUAUUAGGUAUGUCCAGCCAGCCCAUGGACGUCUGUGUUAGUUGGAUGAGGUGAAUGGACAGGAAGUCUGCUGAGCUUAAGGUCACCCCGAGUCCUUCAAAAGCAGGCCUUCUUGGCACAGGCUUUCAGAUAAGAAACAGAUGGAAGGAAGGAAACCUCAUGCAGUUGUUUAAAAUGGAUGAGUAAAGGAUUGGAGGCUAACUAAUUUGAAUAAUUCAGGAACUGAUAAACUGGGAUAGCCAUAGCUAACAAUGAUGUAAAAUAAAGUGCUUACAGAACUAUGAGGAAAAGUGCAAUGAAUUUAAAAUGAAUUGUGAAAUCAAGAUUGUUGUUCUCCUAACAUGGCUGAUUAAGAUUUUCAUGACAUUAAAUGACUUCAGCUCAGCUACGUGCAGAGAAAAUCAACUGUUGUUUUGUGAGGCAGCUCAGAUGCUUGGAGAUUUAUGUACAAGACAAGGAACUCAACGCAGGAGGAAUAAAUGAAGCUCACAAAAGAGAGACAAUUGAUUCUAAAAAUAAAGGAAGAGGGGAAAAUGUAAUGAGUUCCUAUAAUGAAAUGAGUCUAGCAUGGUGAUCAUCAGCUAACUGAGAAUCAGUUUUAACAGUCUGUAAUCGAUGUUCCGACCUUUAUGAAACCAUGAAUCAUUUCAGCUGAAAUUUGUGAAAACACAGGACAGUGAGAACGGAAGACUGGAG